RNAcentral lists this ribosomal RNA (463 nucleotides) under uncultured bacterium. RNAcentral's name for it is "partial 16S ribosomal RNA". It matches the Rfam family "Bacterial small subunit ribosomal RNA", at positions 339 to 795 of the family's 1533-position model. The record is from RNAcentral.
CUACGGGGUGCACCAGUAGGGAAUCUUGCGCAAUGGGCGAAAGCCUGACGCAGCAACGCCGCGUGAGCGAAGACGGCCUUCGGGUUGUAAAGCUCUGUCAGGAGGGACGAAGCCACUCGAGUGAACAGCCCAGAGGGUGACGGUACCUCCAGAGGAAGCCCCGGCUAACUACGUGCCAGCAGCCGCGGUAAUACGUAGGGGGCAAGCGUUGUCCGGAAUUAUUGGGCGUAAAGAGCGUGUAGGCGGCUCGUCAAGUCCGAUGUGAAAUCUCGUGGCUCAACCACGAAACUGCAUUGGAAACUGGCUUGCUAGAGUCCGGAAGAGGAGAAUGGAAUUCCUGGUGUAGCGGUGAAAUGCGCAGAUAUCAGGAAGAACACCGGUGGCGAAGGCGGUUCUCUGGGACGGUACUGACGCUGAGACGCGAAAGCGUGGGGAGCGAACAGGAUUAGAUACCCUGGUAGUC